UCUUUUUGUUUAAAAAUUUAAAGUCUAACCUGCCCAAUGUAUGAUGAAUGGCCGCAGUAUUUUGACUGUGCUAAGGUAGCAUAAUCAUUAGUUUUUUAAUUGAAAGCUGGAAUGAAGGGUUGAAUGAAAGAAUAUCUUUAUUUAAUUAAAAUAAUUAAAAUUUUAUUUUUAAGUAAAAAAGCUUAAAUAAUUAUUAAAGACGAGAAGACCCUAUAGAGUUUUAUAUUUUAUUAAUAUUGUAAUUUGGGAUUUAAUUUUAAUUUUUAAAUUAAAUAUUUAAUUGGGGUGAUUUUAAAAUUAAAAUAACUUUUUUUAUAUUUAAAUAUAGUUAUAUAAAUAUAUGAUCCUAUGUUUUAGAUUAAAAGAAAAAAUUACCUUAGGGAUAACAGCGUAAUUUUAUUAAAGAGUUCAAAUCGAAAAUAAAGAUUGCGACCUCGAUGUUGGAUUAAAA
Molecule: ribosomal RNA, 451 nt
Filed under: Chabria sp. group IBE-JGZ-00998
Lineage: Eukaryota; Metazoa; Arthropoda; Insecta; Coleoptera; Chrysomelidae
Description: partial 16S ribosomal RNA
Source: RNAcentral